UACGUAGGGACCAAGCGUUGUUCGGAAUUACUGGGCGUAAAGGGCGCGUAGGCGGCGACUCAAGUUAGAUGUGAAAGUCCUGGGCUUAACCUGGGGACUGCAUUUGAUACUGGGUUGCUUGAAUUCGGGAGAGGAUAGCGGAAUUCCCAGUGUAGAGGUGUAAUUCGUAGAUAUUGGGAAGAACACCGGUGGCGAAGGCGGCUAUCUGGACCGACAUUGACGCUGAGGCGCGAAAGCGUGGGGAGCAAACAGG
Molecule: ribosomal RNA, 253 nt
Filed under: uncultured bacterium
Lineage: Bacteria
Description: partial 16S ribosomal RNA
Rfam family: Bacterial small subunit ribosomal RNA
Source: RNAcentral